RNAcentral lists this ribosomal RNA (1540 nucleotides) under Klebsiella pneumoniae. Its description in RNAcentral is "bacterial SSU rRNA". It matches the Rfam family "Bacterial small subunit ribosomal RNA". Lineage: Bacteria; Pseudomonadati; Pseudomonadota; Gammaproteobacteria; Enterobacterales; Enterobacteriaceae. The record is from RNAcentral.
AAAUUGAAGAGUUUGAUCAUGGCUCAGAUUGAACGCUGGCGGCAGGCCUAACACAUGCAAGUCGAGCGGUAGCACAGAGAGCUUGCUCUCGGGUGACGAGCGGCGGACGGGUGAGUAAUGUCUGGGAAACUGCCUGAUGGAGGGGGAUAACUACUGGAAACGGUAGCUAAUACCGCAUAACGUCGCAAGACCAAAGUGGGGGACCUUCGGGCCUCAUGCCAUCAGAUGUGCCCAGAUGGGAUUAGCUAGUAGGUGGGGUAACGGCUCACCUAGGCGACGAUCCCUAGCUGGUCUGAGAGGAUGACCAGCCACACUGGAACUGAGACACGGUCCAGACUCCUACGGGAGGCAGCAGUGGGGAAUAUUGCACAAUGGGCGCAAGCCUGAUGCAGCCAUGCCGCGUGUGUGAAGAAGGCCUUCGGGUUGUAAAGCACUUUCAGCGGGGAGGAAGGCGGUGAGGUUAAUAACCUCAUCGAUUGACGUUACCCGCAGAAGAAGCACCGGCUAACUCCGUGCCAGCAGCCGCGGUAAUACGGAGGGUGCAAGCGUUAAUCGGAAUUACUGGGCGUAAAGCGCACGCAGGCGGUCUGUCAAGUCGGAUGUGAAAUCCCCGGGCUCAACCUGGGAACUGCAUUCGAAACUGGCAGGCUAGAGUCUUGUAGAGGGGGGUAGAAUUCCAGGUGUAGCGGUGAAAUGCGUAGAGAUCUGGAGGAAUACCGGUGGCGAAGGCGGCCCCCUGGACAAAGACUGACGCUCAGGUGCGAAAGCGUGGGGAGCAAACAGGAUUAGAUACCCUGGUAGUCCACGCCGUAAACGAUGUCGAUUUGGAGGUUGUACCCUUGAGGCGUGGCUUCCGGAGCUAACGCGUUAAAUCGACCGCCUGGGGAGUACGGCCGCAAGGUUAAAACUCAAAUGAAUUGACGGGGGCCCGCACAAGCGGUGGAGCAUGUGGUUUAAUUCGAUGCAACGCGAAGAACCUUACCUGGUCUUGACAUCCACAGAACUUAGCAGAGAUGCUUUGGUGCCUUCGGGAACUGUGAGACAGGUGCUGCAUGGCUGUCGUCAGCUCGUGUUGUGAAAUGUUGGGUUAAGUCCCGCAACGAGCGCAACCCUUAUCCUUUGUUGCCAGCGGUUAGGCCGGGAACUCAAAGGAGACUGCCAGUGAUAAACUGGAGGAAGGUGGGGAUGACGUCAAGUCAUCAUGGCCCUUACGACCAGGGCUACACACGUGCUACAAUGGCAUAUACAAAGAGAAGCGACCUCGCGAGAGCAAGCGGACCUCAUAAAGUAUGUCGUAGUCCGGAUUGGAGUCUGCAACUCGACUCCAUGAAGUCGGAAUCGCUAGUAAUCGUAGAUCAGAAUGCUACGGUGAAUACGUUCCCGGGCCUUGUACACACCGCCCGUCACACCAUGGGAGUGGGUUGCAAAAGAAGUAGGUAGCUUAACCUUCGGGAGGGCGCUUACCACUUUGUGAUUCAUGACUGGGGUGAAGUCGUAACAAGGUAACCGUAGGGGAACCUGCGGUUGGAUCACCUCCUUA